CUACUCGACUCCUACGGGGAGGCAGCAGUGGGGAAUAUUGCACAAUGGGCGCAAGCCUGAUGCAGCCAUGCCGCGUGUGUGAAGAAGGCCUUCGGGUUGUAAAGCACUUUCAGUUGUGAGGAAAGGUUAGUCGCUAAUAGCGGCAUCAUUUGACGUUAGCAACAGAAGAAGCACCGGCUAACUCCGUGCCAGCAGCCGCGGUAAUACGGAGGGUGCGAGCGUUAAUCGGAAUUACUGGGCGUAAAGCGCAUGCAGGUGGUUUGUUAAGUCAGAUGUGAAAGCCCGGGGCUCAACCUCGGAACUGCAUUUGAAACUGGCAGACUAGAGUACUGUAGAGGGGGUAGAAUUUCAGGUGUAGCGGUGAAAUGCGUAGAGAUCUGAAGGCAAUACCGGUGGCGAAGGCGGCCCCCUGGACAGAUACUGACACUCAGAUGCGAAAGCGUGGGGAGCAAACAGGAUUAGAUACCCUGGUAG
This 474-nucleotide ribosomal RNA is filed under the name uncultured bacterium. Its description in RNAcentral is "bacterial SSU rRNA". It matches the Rfam family "Bacterial small subunit ribosomal RNA", at positions 328 to 793 of the family's 1533-position model. The record is from RNAcentral.